RNAcentral lists this long non-coding RNA (804 nucleotides) under Eptatretus burgeri (inshore hagfish). Its description in RNAcentral is "lncRNA (ENSEBUG00000017383.1)". Lineage: Eukaryota; Metazoa; Chordata; Myxini; Myxiniformes; Myxinidae. The record is from RNAcentral.
CCCCCCCAGUUCAUCAGGUGUCCUCUACCUGGAGUACCUUGAUUUGAAAGUUCAUCAGGUGUCCUCUACCUGGAGUACCUUGAUUUGAAAGUUCGUCAGGUGUCGUGGGCAAAUUUGUGAGUAUGAAUCUUAUUUACAAUCUCUGUUCGGUUGUUCUUUUUCCAAAUGUGAACUCCGUUGUUGACAUUGUUUCCAUGGUUUCAGUGCGCACACACACACCCUGCCGAUCCGUGUUUAAACGAUCUUGUGUUUAUCAUCUUCUCACAAGGUCGAGGAAAUAUGGUGCGGAAACGUCAUCAGAAAGCUUGGGUGGUAGAUGGUGCAACUGACACAACCAUCCCAACCACCAUGCAUGCUGGAGACCUUGAAAAGACAAAUCAAAUCUCAAGUGCAGCCACAGCUGUUGAUGAAAACAAUGAGUUUUCACCAAAGAAAAAAACCUUGUUGGAGAGGUUUAGUGAUAGGGUGAAGGGGUUGCUGUGUGUAAAUUUUACAACAGAUGACAGUGUGGAUGCAAGUCCAAAGAAGAAUGGGAAGAAGAAGAAGACCCAUUUUUGGCAGAAGCGACGACAGCGCAAAAUGAAAAUGAUCCAGCAGAGCGAGCAGCUUGAGGAGCUUCAGCCUCAAAAUGAGACGCUCAUGCAGGACCAUAAGACAACUAGUGGAGCGGUGUUCUUAACAGAGCAGGACGUUGAGCCAAAUGGAAACCAUCACCAGGAGCAGCACAAUGUGGUCCAGCAGGGACAGCUCCUGAGGAGGAAUCAAAACGAGGAAGAGGCUCGUGACAAGGAUGAUUGCCUGCAG